Molecule: ribosomal RNA, 504 nt
Filed under: uncultured bacterium
Lineage: Bacteria
Description: partial 16S ribosomal RNA
Rfam family: Bacterial small subunit ribosomal RNA
Source: RNAcentral
GACGAACGCUGGCGGCGUGCCUAAUACAUGCAAGUAGAACGCACAGUUUAUACCGUCGCUUGCUUCAACAUAGACAGGGAGUUGCGAACGGGUGAGUAACGCGUAGGUAACCUGCCUGGUAGCGGGGGAUGACUAUUGGUAACGAUAGCUAAUACCGCAUAAUAUUGAUUAUUGCUUGGUCAUUGAUUUAACGAUGCUGUUGCAUCACUACCAGCUGGACCUGGGUUUUAUUAGCUAGUAGGUGGGGUAACGGCCUACCAAGGCGACGUUACAUAACCGAUCUGAGAGGAUGAUCAGCCACACUGGAACUGAGACACGGCCCAGACUCCUACGGGAGGCAGCAGUGGGGAAUUUUGGCCAAUGGCCGAAAGCUUGCCCGAGCAAGGCGGCGUGGGUGAAGAAGGUCUUCGGAUUGUAAAGCCCGUUAAAAGGGGAGGAAGGGCGGUAAGUUGGUAAGUUCACGUUGUGACGGUAUCUAAACAGAAAGGAACGGCUAACUACGUG